This 104-nucleotide ribosomal RNA is filed under the name Gemmatimonadota bacterium. RNAcentral's name for it is "Gemmatimonadetes bacterium (sediment metagenome) partial 16S ribosomal RNA". It matches the Rfam family "Bacterial small subunit ribosomal RNA", at positions 1 to 106 of the family's 1533-position model. The record is from RNAcentral. Lineage: Bacteria; Pseudomonadati; Gemmatimonadota.
CAGUGGAGGGUUUGAUCCUGGCUCAGGACGAACGCUGGCGGCGUGCCUAACACAUGCAAGUCGUACGGGCCUGUGCCUUCGGGUGCAGGUCAGUGGCGGACGGG